Molecule: ribosomal RNA, 468 nt
Filed under: uncultured bacterium
Lineage: Bacteria
Description: partial 16S ribosomal RNA
Rfam family: Bacterial small subunit ribosomal RNA
Source: RNAcentral
GACGAACGCUCGCUGCGUGCUUAACACAUGCAAGUCGAACGGAAAGGCCCUGCUUUUGUUGCUUUCUCUAGUGGCGAACGGGUGCGUAACACGUGAGUAACCUUCCCUUGUCUUUGGGAUAACUUCAGGAAACUGCGGCUAAUACCGGAUAGGAGCUCCUGCUGCAUGGUGGUGGUUGGAAUGUUUCGGCGGUUGGGGAUGGACUCGCGGCUUAUCAGAUUGUUGGUGGGGUAGUGGAUUACCAAGGCUUUGACGGGUAGCCGGCCUGAGAGGGUGACCGGAAAAAUUGGGAAUGAGAUACGGGAAUGAGUAGUAAGGAAGGCAGCAGGGGGGAAGAUUGCACAAUGGGGGGAAGCCUGAUGCAGGAAGGCCGCGUGAGGGAUGACGGACUUCGGGUAGUAAACAGCUAUCGGCUGUGAGGAAGCGUGAGUGAAGGUAAUGGGUAAAGAAGCACCGGCUAACUACGUG